GGUUUAGUGGUGUAGUGGUUAUCACACCUGUCUCACACACAGGUGGUCCCCGGUUCGAACCCGGGCUGAAUCA
This 73-nucleotide transfer RNA is filed under the name Truncatella angustata. It matches the Rfam family "tRNA". Rfam says of the family: Transfer RNA (tRNA) molecules are approximately 80 nucleotides in length. Lineage: Eukaryota; Fungi; Ascomycota; Sordariomycetes; Amphisphaeriales; Sporocadaceae. The record is from Rfam by way of RNAcentral.